GAUGACAGCACAUCUUCCUGGGUCGGUUAUGAGGAUGGGAGGGACGCGGUCGAGAAGCUUUAUCUUAUCCUAGAUCUAAACAACAUAACUGUCUCAACUGGUGCACUUAAAGAGGAGCCAGUCGAUGAUACAACGGUUCCGACUGAAGAAGAAGUCAUUGAAGGGGCUACCCUGAUCGAAGAAGCUGCACCAACUGUGAUAGAGUCGGCCCC
Molecule: long non-coding RNA, 212 nt
Filed under: Elaeis guineensis (African oil palm)
Lineage: Eukaryota; Viridiplantae; Streptophyta; Magnoliopsida; Arecales; Arecaceae
Description: long non-coding RNA (EGUI_LNC017563)
Source: RNAcentral